ACCCAUAUGACGAGUCCCAAAACGGGACGAAAUACGCAUCUUGGAU
Molecule: non-coding RNA, 46 nt
Filed under: Trichobilharzia regenti
Lineage: Eukaryota; Metazoa; Platyhelminthes; Trematoda; Strigeidida; Schistosomatidae
Source: RNAcentral